RNAcentral lists this ribosomal RNA (323 nucleotides) under Rhipicephalus sanguineus (brown dog tick). Its description in RNAcentral is "partial 16S ribosomal RNA". The record is from RNAcentral. Lineage: Eukaryota; Metazoa; Arthropoda; Arachnida; Ixodida; Ixodidae.
UCUGCUCAAUGAUUUUUUAAAUUGCUGUGGUAUUUUGACUAUACAAAGGUAUUGAAAUAAGAUUUUAAUUGAAUGCUAAGAGAAUGGAAUUUCAGAAAAAAACUUUUUUCAAGUUAAAAAUUGAAAUUUUUUUAAUUUGUGCAGAAACAAUUAUUAAUAUUAAGGACAAGAAGACCCUAUGAAUUUAUAAAUUUUAUUUAAUAUGUAACUAUUAUUAAAAAAAUUUUGGCUGGGGCGGCGGAAAAAUAUUUAAAACUUUUUUAAAAUAAAAUGACCCAUUAUUAAUGAUUAUAUGUUAAAUACUCUAGGGAUAACAGCGUAAA